Molecule: long non-coding RNA, 6460 nt
Filed under: Venturia canescens
Lineage: Eukaryota; Metazoa; Arthropoda; Insecta; Hymenoptera; Ichneumonidae
Description: uncharacterized LOC122418944, transcript variant X5
Source: RNAcentral
ACUUUGAAGAACGCAAUGUAUAUGAGCGACGAGUAAAAAUUGACAAACUCAAAAAGGAAUAUCUUGAACGUGAAGCUGUCCUCAUAUUCGGUCUGCGUUCGAGGAUUUUCAUAGUUCGUCAUCCAUAGUGCCAGCCGAUUGUAAACCCUCAGAACUCCAAAGGAAUCAAACAGAAAGUGGACCAUUAUUUACUCACCCCAAAAUGACAUAAAAAUCGCGAAGAAGACAGUCGCUGGAUUAUCAAAGAGAUACGUCAGCCUGGAGAACAGACAAGAGUCUUUCAACCUUCGAUACGAACACGCUCUAUCGCACAACGGACACAGGGUGAUGUUACCUUCGUAAAGGAGAAACGAUUUUUCAUCAAUUUUUCAAUAUAAUCAAUCGCCACAAUAAAAAAUGCUGUUUAGCGAGACAGCUUCGAGGAUAAAAGAAAUCAAACAGCCGGAGUAUUUUUUCUGGAUUCUGCAUACUUCACUCGGUAAUUUUAUUACCGAUCAUUUGAUAGCAUUAAUCGCCAGGUAAUUCAAUUAUGCAAUAAUUCUUUGAGAGAAACCAUUGAAUCGUUGAAGAAAUUGUUCAUUUUUCUUCAAAAUUCAUAAACGAGUGAACAAAGAAAAAUGUACAGAAAUAAAAUCAAACAGAUAACAAAACAUUAAAAAGCCUCGGAGCUUACCAGCGAGUUUAAGAUCACAGAUUUCUUUGGUCGGUAUGUUGUCGGGACUGUCCAUGCUUCCCAGUCCAUAAAUGAAGCAGAGAACACCCACGAUUGCCGGUGGAUACAAAGCUUUCGUGUAAAAACCCAACCAGGCAUAAUACAACGCAACUUUUUCACCGAAAUAACGUCUUAUCAACCACAGGGGUUGUCUCUUGUACCUUCAACGAAUAAUCAUCGAAAAUUAUCAUAAACUUAUUGUACGAUCACUCAAUAGUAAAGCAUUUUUGUUGAAACCAUAGUUUGUUACAAGCUUUCAAUGGUUUCAAAAUCCCUCUAUUUUUUUCAAUCCGAGAAAUCGGAUGUUCAGAAAUAUUCAUGAGUGCUCAGCUAAGGUGAAAAAACUCAUUAUAGGCAGAGACAGGAAAACUCUUGAAUUAUUUUUCAAAUUGAUUUCUUUCAAAUGAUGUUUUAAUUUACGAGAAUGAUUAUGCUUGAUUAUUGGUACUUUUACAUUUUCGAAACAGUUGAAAUUUUCUUAGACUUCUGUUCAAUUGAGAAAAAAUGUUUGAACUUUGACCCAAUGGAAAUUUUGCAGCAGUCUUUUGCUUCGUUAGUUAUGUACUUGACUAAUCUCUUCUUUUUCUUACACAGUGAUAAAGUGGGAGAAAUUGAAUUUUACAAAAAUAGUCUACAUUUAUUGAGAGAUCAACAAUUACCACUGAGAUGGUCUCGCCCAGAUGAGGUAAAGUAAAUGCCUGUCGGUAAUAACCCCGUCUGAUCCAGGUCGGUCGUAAGGACCCUCGUGCAAUGGAAAACAAUCGAGAUAGCUGCCAUCAGCUAUCAAUCUUCUUACGCCAGCUUUUUCCGAAAUUUCGUCGUAUCUCGUUCUCGACAAUAUUUGCAUUACGAUGAGUGAUCUCUGGGCUGGUGUAUAGGCCGUUUCGCGGUCUUUCACGACGAAUCUAUCGAAAAAGAAUAAAAGAACGUUCGAUAUUGCAGCAGUGUCAUCGUCGCAAAAAAUUGAUCAAAUAUUGAAACUGGACGCGCAAUUACAGACUUCAUCGUUUAGGGAAUACCCUGAGAAAAGAAAUUUCUUGAUUCAAUGAAAUUUUUGUUGGAUCAAGGAAUCGUGACGAAAAAAAUGAAACUCGUUAAGUCAAUAAAAAUUCGGGUGAUCCUUAGUUUGCUGACUCAAACAAACAUUUCUCACCUCGACAAAAACGUUGAAUCAUCAAACAGUUUGUUGAAUCAACGAAUUUCAUUUUUUUCACUACGGUCUGUCGAUCCAACAAAGUUUUUUUGUAGAAUGUUGAUUCUACAUUACGCUUUACCUCGUUCUUAAGCUACAUUUCCAUGGCACACCCACGUUCGUUGGUAGAUUUUAAUCCUUAUUCACUUUUCUCUAAUACAAUUUUUCAUUUUUAUCAAAUUCCACAGAUUAGAGGGUCGAUGAGGAACAAUGAGAGAUCGAGAAGCCGAUUUCCACGCGCGAAAAAUAAACGGCCGUGCCCAAAAGAUAAAAUCCCAAUUACUCUGGAGGUCGUCUCACCAAUGUGACGAAUCACGACUAUAUUGCGAGCAGAGGAAAAAAUCGUUGGAUUAACCGCAGAUCCCGCAGCGUCUUGCCAAUGGUUUUCGGUUACCAUCGCAAUGUGUCAAAGAAUUGAACGCGCUAUUUUGACACAGAAUUGCACAUUUGGUAUGAUCGAGAGCCAGUAGUCGAACCAACGAAACUUUCCAAUGACAUCUCAACCCAACAAACCUACUUAUCACAGCUUUGAUUCGAAUGUUACAUAAGCUCGGGAAAGUUAUAGAAUAUGGAAAAGCGUGCGAGACAAUGAUCGAUGACCGCAAAUCGAUGGAAAAUGUCAUGUACCUCCACAUAUAUGAAGUAGACAUCCACCCGCGGUGAUGAAAAGUAGAUAUUUUCGAACGAUGCGACGCAAUGUUGAAAGGGUUUAGUCUUCGACCUUCGCUCGUCAUUAGGUGAAUUCGAAAAAUGUAGUAUUAUGGAACUUUUGACUAGAAAAAUGAAAGUGGUGGAAUAAUUAAAAGCUCGAAUCCGAUAAAAGCGUCCUCCCGCCUUCAUCAUUAUUCAAAGUUCAAUUCGAAAAAGCGGUGCGAUGGAACUUUGAAUUAAAAAGAAAAAGGAACUGCGGGUGUAGAGGAAUAAUUAAAAUCUCAAGCCCGAUGAAAGCGUCCAAGCACAUUCAUCACUAAUUCCGAUACUGCGAAGUGCGGUUGAAUAACGAAGUUGUAGCCGGGAGUUUGGAGUAGCGAACAGCUGUUGUCUCGUGGUCAAGUGUAAUUCUAUAAAAGUAUAUCUGGCCACGCCCAGCGAGGUGUGAUAUGAAUAGACAAGGGAAAAGUGCAUUACGCGUAUAGACAUUGUUUCUGCAUUGAAAGGUCGAGUCGAGUUAUAGCUCGUGUCUCAAUCGACGCUUCGACAUUGUCCAUACGCAAGUAAGUUUACCGAUCGGUCUGCAGGGACUGGGCAUUCUCUAUGGGGAGUGUUGUCCCCGGAGAGUUUGUCAUCGAUCGCAAUUUCAGCGAACGGUAAAUACGAUUCAUCAUGAUUUAGUGGUUUUACUUUGAUGUUUUGAUUAGGACUUUGAUUGAUGACGAUUGGGUUGUUUGCGUUUUUUUCCUUAGACGAUUAUGAGCUCCUUAAUAAUUUGGAUCUCACGAAAAAGUAAACUCGACCGAACAAACGAAACGUAAUCGUCGUUGAAUGAGCGAAAUUCUUUGUUCUUCAAAGGAGGAAACUUUUUCGAGGAUCCUACUUCUCGAUCGUACCUUUCUUCUCGAUCACCGGAAUCUGUGCUGCAGUAAAAACUCGGCUCUUCAGGUUCCGAGGAUUGGCCGAUCGGGGGAAACCACUAAAAGUGAAAAAAACUGAGGAAACCAAACGUUUUUAUCAUUCGAAAGGCACAUUUUCUUGGCUGAUCUUGGAGACUUUUGGCCUCGAGCGAAUUUCACACGAUAAUUAUGAGCUGACGAAUGUUCAACUUGUGACGACACUUACCCAAGCUUUGACCGAUAUCGUGAUGAAUCGUUUCGUGUACAACUUUAGGUUCAUCAAUUCGGCGUACCGAAUUUUCACUUUCCAAGGAUGCACACACGAAAAGAGAGAGAGAGAGAGCCACGAGCGUUAAUACAAAACGAAAUUUCUGUGUAUUUUCGCGUGUGUCACGCUCUCGCGGUUUGAAUGAUUGGAUUGAUUCCGUGAUGGUGCUGUCCGGAGUCGGGAGCACGAUAUGAGCGUACCGGAAGAAGAGAGUUUCUGGAUCUGGUUCGUUUUGACUGAUGGAUCCGCCCGCAGUUCCAUUUUGCAUGUGUCCAUUUUUGGUUUCCGGAUCGCUGGGUUCGCCCGGCGUCGGUGUUUCCGGCAGCGAGGGAUGGUUAGCCUCGGAAGCUGCGUGAGUCAAUUUCGGACCUAUGAAUAGCGAGAAGCACAUUUCGAAGAGGCGAAAUUUCAAGGAGUUUCGAUCGGAAGUGAGGACGCGAAAAAACUUGGCGCCCUCCGAGUCUCACCAGCGCGCUUUUGACAUCGCACAAACUCAUCCGUCGACGAGGAAAUAUCGAAAAAAAAACUUUUCGUACAUGUGAUCGUAUAAACAUACAAAGGCUGCACUUUUCCUCCUCGCGUAUAUCGAACUUCUACAGGCUCUAGCUCGUCCUCAAUAAUUCAACUACGCCACUGUUCGAAGCCAAAGAGUAUUGCCAGAUUGACCAAAAGAUUAUGCGGUCGCUGUGGCAUAGCUAAUCCAACGUGUGUAGCAGCACUCCCAACGGAGGGUGCAUACUUCAUGAAUAAUCAGCCACAAUAACAUCCCUGUCAAGGCAAAUUCCAACUGACUGAUCGGUGUGCGAUUUGCUUUUUGUUAUUCUUCCUGCUAACUGGCUCUUUGAAGCGUUUUUGCUUUUAUUGCUGUUCUCGGGGCUGAUUUAGCGUGGAAUCAUUUGAAGAGUAGAUUUAUUAUUUGAAAUUUUGACGAAUGUUUCAGAAAUACUUAAAAACGAAUACGAAUUAUUGAUCCAGUAGGAAUAAAAAAAAUUUUCUCAGUGCGAGCGAGUGCUUGAACAUUUUCAUGAAUUCAUUCAAAUUGGGCACCGAGUUCUAUGUCGUAUAAUAUUUAUUCAUUCUUACGAACAUACGUACUCAUUUUUUAUGAAGCGAGAACUCGAUGAAAAUUAAUGUGUCAUGGCAAAACAAGCGCGAAUGAAAUCCUGCUGUGUACCAUAGUAAAUUUCUAAACACUUUGGCGGAUCCUUGUGUUCGAGCUCCUCAAAUUUACCUAUGCUCAACUGUAAAUUUCGAUUGUGAAAACAGUACUAACGACAGAAAAACGGCAUUAAUAAUUCUACUUUACAGUUCAUCAUCGAGUCCACAUAAAUUUUACAACGUUUCUUCGGUGAAGUACGUAGGAACAAAUAGCACAGUUUAAACCUUUGUCAGAGCAAAGUAUGCGAUUGAAAAGUUUUUAUUCGGAAUUUACUUGGAAAUUACAAUGUUUUUGGUAAAAAUCUCCAAAAUGGGCGAUAUAGCCAAUCCUAACACUAUGGUGAUAUGGUAAUUUUUACAAUUUUCUUCUCUCCGUGUAAAUAUUCAAGCGCAAAUGAAAUUUUGCUACGUACAUUUUCAAACAUUUCGACGGGUCGGUGAUACAUGUAUUCGAGCUCUUGAAAUUUUACUAUGCUCAACUGUAAAAUAAGCAAUUCAGAAAUCUUCAUAUGAAACGACACGAAAACUACAACGUUUUUGGUAAAAACCUCCAAAAUGGACGAUAUCGAAGCCUGAUACUAUGACGGCAUAGUAAUUCUUACUAUUUUUUUUCUCCGUGUGUAUAUAAAAAAUAAUUGGUUACUCAAACGUUGCUACUUUGGUGCGUUCAAGCGAUCAAGUGUGACAGCUUUCAUACGAAAAUUAAUUAUAAUUGUAGAAAAAGAAAAAGCAUUUACUAUUAUCGAAAGUACCCUCCUAGCUUCACCACGAAUCCAAUAAACAACGCUUUUUUUCUUUACUUCAAAAUAAUACAAAAGAAGUUGUGCAACGUGAUAAUUGAGGCCUCGCAAUUUACGUGAUCCGUCUUCCGGUCGAUUAGCCGACAUCAAAUACAUUGGCACGUCAGAUUUAUUGCAAACGAUAAAAAAAAUGAUGUUAUCUUUUAACUGAGCGAGGAUUAAGCAUCCGACUGUUAAAAUGUGUUGAUCCAACCGAUUUCUUCGUCGACUCAACCAAUCGUGGCAAACAAAUAAAUUUUUCGAUCCAAAAAACUUUUGGUGGUUGAACGAUAUUUUUUUCAGAAAUGGAAAUAAUGAUUCGAGCCAAAAAACUGAGUGCUCGAUUCGCCUGAAUUUUAAUUCGGGGUAACAAAUUUCAGUUUCUUCGCCACAAUUUAUUGAGCCAACAAUAUUUUUCACAAUUCAAACUUGCAAUAGUUAAAAUUGAGAAAAUUCAAAUUUCCAAUAGAAAUAAGCUCGAGGCUCGAUCGAAUAAUUGGACUUUAAUGAAAUUUGUGAACCCAACUCAGCGCGGCUUGAAACUAAGGAGAUUCGAAUCCCCAAACACACAAUAUUUCUUCCAUCUGGGCUUUUGCUAAAAGUGUGUCCUUCAUAAAAACAUCGUUCAGACGUGAUGUUUCAAUUUCUAGUACGACGAUCGAGUCAAUUUUUCUUAUUUGCGUGAGAAGACUCGUUAUGAGGAAAAUGAUUAAGCAGAGUACAUCGUAGGUCGCGUGACCGAAUGUAUUUUGUACUAUCUGAACAUUUUCACAUUCACGAUUAAAUUUUAUACGCAAGGGU